Small nucleolar RNA from Chrysemys picta bellii (western painted turtle), 67 nucleotides. The record is from Ensembl. NCBI's taxonomy places the organism in Eukaryota, Metazoa, Chordata, Testudines, Emydidae.
CUCCUCAGUGAUGAGACCCCUACCGCCCCAGUCUGAUCCCCAUGACUGAGUGGUUCCCUCUGAGGCC